CACGUAGUUAGCCGGUGCUUCUUUACCCAUUACCGUCACUCACGCUUCGUCACAGGCGAAAGCGGUUUACAACCCGAAGGCCGUCAUCCCGCACGCGGCGUUGCUGCAUCAGGCUUCCGCCCAUUGUGCAAUAUUCCCCACUGCUGCCUCCCGUAGGAGUCUGGGCCGUAUCUCAGUCCCAAUGUGGCCGAUCACCCUCUCAGGCCGGCUACCCGUCAAAGCCUUGGUAAGCCACUACCCCACCAACAAGCUGAUAAGCCGCGAGUCCAUCCCCAACCGCCGAAACUUUCCAACCCCCACCAUGCAGCAGGAGCUCCUAUCCGGUAUUGGCCCCAGUUUCCUGAAGUUAUCCCAAAGUCAAGGGCAGGUUACUCACGUGUUACUCACCCGUUGCCACUCGAGCACCCCACAAAAGCAGGGCCUUUCCGUUCGACUUGCAUGUGUUAAGCACGCCGCCAGCGUUGUCCUGAGCCAGGAUCAAACUCU
RNAcentral lists this ribosomal RNA (486 nucleotides) under uncultured Propionibacterium sp. RNAcentral describes it as "partial 16S ribosomal RNA". The record is from RNAcentral. Lineage: Bacteria; Bacillati; Actinomycetota; Actinomycetes; Propionibacteriales; Propionibacteriaceae.